UACGAAGGGGGCUAGCGUUGCUCGGAAUCACUGGGCGUAAAGCGCACGUAGGCGGAUUGCUAAGUCAGGGGUGAAAUCCUGGAGCUCAACUCCAGAACUGCCUUUGAUACUGGUGAUCUUGAGCCCGGGAGAGGUGAGUGGAACUGCGAGUGUAGAGGUGAAAUUCGUAGAUAUUCGCAAGAACACCAGUGGCGAAGGCGGCUCACUGGCCCGGUACUGACGCUGAGGUGCGAAAGCGUGGGGAGCAAACAGG
Molecule: ribosomal RNA, 253 nt
Filed under: uncultured bacterium
Lineage: Bacteria
Description: partial 16S ribosomal RNA
Rfam family: Bacterial small subunit ribosomal RNA
Source: RNAcentral